UACGUAGGGGGCAAGCGUUGUCCGGAAUCAUUGGGCGUAAAGCGCGCGUAGGCGGUCCGGUAAGUCGGCUGUGAAAGUCAAGGGCUCAACCCUUGAAUGCCGGUUGAUACUGUCGGGCUAGAGUCCGGAAGAGGCGAGUGGAAUUCCCGGUGUAGCGGUGAAAUGCGCAGAUAUCGGGAGGAACACCAAUGGCGAAGGCAGCUCGCUGGGACGGUACUGACGCUGAGACGCGAAAGCGUGGGGAGCAGACAGG
Molecule: ribosomal RNA, 253 nt
Filed under: uncultured bacterium
Lineage: Bacteria
Description: partial 16S ribosomal RNA
Rfam family: Bacterial small subunit ribosomal RNA
Source: RNAcentral